ACUUGUCCGCCAGAAAAUUACGGGCGAAAGCCUAAAACUCAAAAGACUUGACAGUGUCCUAUCUGCCUAGAGGAGCCUGCUUCAUAAUCGAUAAACCCCGUUCAACCCAACCCUCCCUCGAAAUCCACUUUCAGCCUAUAUACCGCCGUCCUUCUUGCGCUUACCUUCUGAAAGAUCUAUUAGUAAGCCCAAUAGCCCUUAAGCUAAAAAGUCAGGUCAAGGUGUAGCCCAUGGGAGGGAGAAAGUGGGCUACAUUUUCUACCUUAGAACACACGAAAUAUAUUCUGAAACCAAAGUAAUAUGAAGGUGGAUUUAGUAGUAAG
Molecule: ribosomal RNA, 323 nt
Filed under: Kentropyx calcarata
Lineage: Eukaryota; Metazoa; Chordata; Lepidosauria; Squamata; Teiidae
Description: partial 12S ribosomal RNA
Rfam family: Bacterial small subunit ribosomal RNA
Source: RNAcentral